AGCAGCCGCGGUAAUUCCAGCUCCAAUAGCGUAUAUUAAAGUUGUUGCAGUUAAAAAGCUCGUAGUUGAAUUUUGGAUUCUUCCAAUUGGUCCAUCUUUUAGAUGAGUACUGGUUGUGUGGGGUCUAUCCGCCUGGUGAUACGUAAUGUCCUUUAUUGGAUGUUGCGGGUAGUCAGGACCUUUACCUUGAAAAAAUUAGAGUGUUUAAAGCAGGCUUAUGCCGGAAUACAUUAGCAUGGAAUAAUAGAAUAGGACGAAGUUGUUUUAUUUUGUUGGUUUCUAGGACAACCGUAAUGAUUAAUAGGGAUAGUUGGGGGCAUUAGUAUUCAAUUGUCAGAGGUGAAAUUCUUGGAUUUAUUGAAGACUAACUACUGCGAAAGCAUUUGCCAAGGAUGUUUUCAUUAAUCAAGAACGAAAGUUAGGGGAUCGAAGACGAUCAGAUACCGUCGU
This 450-nucleotide ribosomal RNA is filed under the name uncultured Glomeromycotina. RNAcentral's name for it is "SSU rRNA". It matches the Rfam family "Eukaryotic small subunit ribosomal RNA", at positions 569 to 1021 of the family's 1831-position model. Lineage: Eukaryota; Fungi; Glomeromycota. The record is from RNAcentral.